GUGUGAUGGCGUGCCUUUUGAAGAAUGAGCCUGCGAGUCAGCGGCAUGUCGCGAGGUUAACCCGUGUGGGGUAGCCGUAGGGAAACCGAAUCCUAAUGGGGUGUAAAGUGGCAUGUCCUGGACCCGAAGCGGGGUGAUCUACCCAUGGCCAGUGUGAAGCAGCUGUAAGAGGUUGUGGAGGCGCGAACCCACGUAGGUUGAAAACUGCG
This 209-nucleotide ribosomal RNA is filed under the name Fibrocapsa japonica. Its description in RNAcentral is "partial Bacterial large subunit ribosomal RNA". It matches the Rfam family "Bacterial large subunit ribosomal RNA", at positions 591 to 800 of the family's 2925-position model. The record is from RNAcentral. Lineage: Eukaryota; Raphidophyceae; Chattonellales; Chattonellaceae.